Long non-coding RNA from Capsicum annuum, 538 nucleotides. RefSeq lists it as uncharacterized. The transcript is spliced from 4 exons. Lineage: Eukaryota; Viridiplantae; Streptophyta; Magnoliopsida; Solanales; Solanaceae. The record is from RefSeq and is a predicted model, not a curated record.
AACCCCCCGCUAUCCAUUAAAAAAAUAGCAGGAUGUUAAUUACUUUAGUGUUGCCUCCAUUUUUCUAAAAUUUCCCUCUCAAAUUUUCCCCCAAAUCAAUUUUUUUCCCAAAACCAUUUUCUAAUCGCCAGCUUCCUGUGGUAGAUGGUGGGAAACGUUAUAAGGGCCGCCCUUCAGAUAUUUUCCAAAUUGAAUGCAAAUUCGAGUGUUGAAAUACAUAAUUUAAGAAGGACGAAAGAAGGAUGGACCUCAUAUAUCUCCUAGUGACAAAAUUUAUGAGUACAUUUUCUUCUGAGGCAGUGACAUAAAGCCAAGUAAUGCAGCUAGUGGACCCAUUUCGCCCAUGAAUGCAAGGAGAUCACCUGAUGAUAGUGAUCCUAAUGACAGUCGUUGAUUUCAUUACAAAUUAUCUAGGAUAUUCAAUUAUGAUGAUGUAAUUGUGUGGUUGGAGUGAAUCUUAGAAUAUUGAAGGUUUUGUGUUUAAAUUUGAUUUUGGGGUUUGAAGAUACUAGUUAAUGUUAAAAAUUUGGACUUUGAA